This 441-nucleotide ribosomal RNA is filed under the name uncultured bacterium. RNAcentral's name for it is "partial 16S ribosomal RNA". It matches the Rfam family "Bacterial small subunit ribosomal RNA", at positions 338 to 795 of the family's 1533-position model. The record is from RNAcentral.
CCUACGGGUCGCAGCAGUGGGGGAUAUUGCACAAUGGGGGAAACCCUGAUGCAGCGACGCCGCGUGAGUGAAGAAGUAUUUCGGUAUGUACAGCUCUAUCAGCAGGGAAGACACAAGCCGGUACUUGCCUAAGAAGCCCCGGCUAACGACGGGCCAGCAGCCGCGGUAUUACGUAGGGGGCAAGCGUUAUCCGGAUUUACUGGGUGUAAAGGGAGCGUAGCUGGCAAUACAAGUCGGAAGUGAAAGACCCGGGCUCAACCUGGGAACUGCUUUGGAAACUGUAUGGCUAGAGUGCGGGAGAGGGAAGCGGAAUGCCUAGUGUAGCGGUGAAAUGCGUAGAUAUUAGGAGGAACACCAGUGGCGAAGGCGGCUUACUGGACAGUAACUGACGUUGAGGCUCGAAAGCGUGGGGAGCAAACAGGAUUAGAUACCCCAGUAGUC